UUCUAAAAUGAUCAUUUUGUUUACAAUAGUGUUUUUGGUAUAAAUCAUUUUUGGACGUGAUUAUGUUUUUUUUUGAUAUUUAAGAUUAAAUUUUAUGAUAGAAUUAGAUUAUUCUUUCUUUAUUUUCUGAUUUCGGAUGAAACACUGAAAAAAAAAUUAAGACACUCAAAUCUAUGAACGAUUAAUGCCAAUAUCAUAAACUGUAAAAAUUAUAUGUCCGCAAAGUAUUUUUACUAAUUAGUUUGUUUGUUUCCUUUGUCUUUCAUUUGCACAUCAAAUGAUGUGCAGCUGCCAGGAUCUUUACGUUUUUUAUCUUUGAAAUUUAUUUUUGAAACCUUCCCACUUUGCUUCAAAGUUUCAACAACCUGUGCUCUGUAGAAUACUUAGCUUAAAAGGUUGCGAAGCAUUGGUGAGGGUUCCAACAAGCUUUGGCCAAGUAGAUGUGGUGAUCUCACUGCACUUCCGGAGACCAUUGAAAACCUGUAUGCUUUGCAAUACUUGAACUGUACCCACCUGCACCAGGAUUGAUGGUGGGUUCUUGCACAGCAUAUGCUAUUUCAAUGUGGAAGCAAUAUUUGUGGGCGUGGAGGGUGAUGGUGGACAAUUGGUAGAGUGUUCUUGGUCUUGUUUUGUAAUGGAAGAAGAGGAGGAGGACGAGGAAAGAGGAAAGAGGAAGUGGAAGUGAGUGUGUCGUUGACAAUGUGUGAUCUAACUUUAGAUUCCAAUAACAGUGCUUUACAAAUGGUGAGGAAGGAAAUUAAAAGGAGGAUGGGGAUAGUCAUAGUAGUUGAAAAGUCCAGAUUGUGUAUGCAAAGACGGGAUUCAGUAGACAAGAGCGAAGAGUAUAUCUGCCAAGCUUCACAAAUCAAGACGACUAUUUGCGUUUACUCUCUUCAAACUCCUCAAAUCUGACCCGAGAGAGAAUGAUGAAUGGGAGACGCACCGAUAGAUCAGGGAGAGGUAGUUUUGACAGGGUCUCCUUUAUUCUAGAUUUCAUUUGUUCUGGAUUGUAAAAGUUGAUUGAUUGAUGAAGCAUGUAUAUUAUUUUUUCUUGUAUUAUUUAGAUAAAUGAUAUGAAAGGAAGUUUUUGAUCAGAUUCACAAGACA
Long non-coding RNA from Cryptomeria japonica (Japanese cedar), 1107 nucleotides. RefSeq lists it as uncharacterized. Lineage: Eukaryota; Viridiplantae; Streptophyta; Pinopsida; Cupressales; Cupressaceae. The record is from RefSeq and is a predicted model, not a curated record. The transcript has 3 exons.